UAGGAGGAGGGUUUUGUGUUUGUUGGAGUUUUUUUUUCUCUCAAAGCCUUAAACUCCAAUUACGUUAGCAGGUGUGUGCACGUGCCCUGUGCACGGGUGUGUCCUGUCUGGUUUCAGUUCCCAGGGUAAACCACAUGCACGAGGAUUCACGUUUACAGAUUGCAUCCGCAAUCAUUCUUAUGGGGCCAAAGAUGAAAUGAAAAUUCUUCAGGCUUCCACGAGAAAGCAGAAUGAAGCCAAGGACUCUUAUCCUACCAGGCUAUCAGCAGCUGUUUAGUGCCUGGGAAGAUGAGAACCAUGACAACAUAGUGCUGGCCCCUCACCUGGAUGCCCCCGUGUGAAGGUGCACAGGCUGCUGGAAUGGGCACGGGACAUCUGGCUAGAGGACGGU
Molecule: long non-coding RNA, 391 nt
Filed under: Dasypus novemcinctus (nine-banded armadillo)
Lineage: Eukaryota; Metazoa; Chordata; Mammalia; Cingulata; Dasypodidae
Description: lncRNA (ENSDNOG00000050757.1)
Source: RNAcentral